ACGGGGGAUAACUAUGGAACGGAUAGCUAAUACCGCAUAAUAUUAAUUAUUGCAUGAUAAUUGAUUGAAAGGUGCAAUUGCACCACUACCUAGAUGGACCUGCGUUGUAUUAGCUAGUAGGUGAGGUAACGGCUCACCUAGGCGACGAUACAUAGCCGACCUGAGAGGGUGAUCGGCCACACUGGGACUGAGACACGGCCCAGACUCCUACGGGAGGCAGCGGUAGGGAAUCUUCGGCAAUGGACGAAAGUCUGACCGAGCAACGCCGCGUGAGUGAAGAAGGUUUUCGGAUCGUAAAGCUCUGUUGUAAGAGAAGAACGGGUGUGAGAGUGGAAAGUUCACACUGUGACGGUAUCUUACCAGAAAGGGACGGCUAACUACGUGCCAGCAGCCGCGGUAAUACGUAGGUCCCGAGCGUUGUCCGGAUUUAUUGGGCGUAAAGCGAGCGCAGGCGGUUAGAUAAGUCUGAAGUUAAAGGCUGUGGCUUAACCAUAGUACGCUUUGGAAACUGUUUAACUUGAGUGCAGAAGGGGACGAGUGGAAUUCCAUGUGUAGCGGUGAAAUGCGUAGAUAUAUGGAGGACACCGGUGGCGAAAGCGGCUCUCUGGUCUGUAACUGACGCUGAGGCUCGAAAGCUGUGGGGAGCGAACAGGAUU
Molecule: ribosomal RNA, 656 nt
Filed under: uncultured Streptococcus sp.
Lineage: Bacteria; Bacillati; Bacillota; Bacilli; Lactobacillales; Streptococcaceae
Description: bacterial SSU rRNA
Rfam family: Bacterial small subunit ribosomal RNA
Source: RNAcentral